UUUAACGUGUGUAUUGUACCUUGUUAAAAUUACAAAAAAAAAUGACGGGAAUUUUGUUGUCAACCUAAUACAUAACCUCACUUAUAUCGGAUAAUAUUUAUUACUUUUUAUUUCGUUUCUAUUUAAAAUGGAAAGUAGAGAAAUUUGAUGAAUGAACCUUCAUCAUUGAUGACGAUUUUUUGAAUGAUUUAAUUGAAACAAAUUCGAAAUUUACGGUUUAAGAAAUGGUUGAAAGAUUCAUUGUCCAUAAUUCAAUUGUUGUUUGACAUUUAAGUGACAUGAGAAAAAUGAAAAGUUUAGACAAAUGGGUUUCCUAUGAACUAAACGAGAAGAUUAAGUUGAGACGUUUAGAAAUGAAGAAUUCUUUACUUUUCUGACAUAAAUUUGAUGGAAUCCUGCAAAGAAUAGUGCAAUGAAAAGUGGAUUUCCUUCUACAAUCGUCGACCAUUUUGGGUUAGUGGUUGAAUACAAAUAAAUAACCUCAACAUAUGCCAUAGUCAAAUCUUCAUCAAAAGAAGAUUAUGGUGUCUGUAUGGUAGUCAAGUAAGAGGAUUUUGUAUUAUUCGUUCAAUAAACUAGGUUAGGUGUUGAAUACUAUUAGGAAUUUGAAUUUGAUUGUACGAAAAUGAAACAGUCAUCAGCUCGUAUUAGUAAAUAAACGCGAAUUGUUGUUAAUUUGCGAUAAUCACAUUCCACGACGAAACAAAAAUAACUUGAGUUAAACGUUGAAAUUCUCUUUAAUCGUCUGACCUGUUUCGUCUGAUCUUUCAGCAACGGAUUAUCAUCUUUUCAAGCACCUGGAUGGAAUUUUACUUGGGAAAAAUGUUGGAUCGACGAAAGACUUCUCUCCUAUGUUGAGGAAGGGAUAAGGGCGUAGUGACGACACCCGUUGUACCACCUCCUCUUCUUGAACCAAGCCAUGACCAGACGUUGUGUCCUAAAUAAAAAUAAGGAAAAACAACUAUCAAAAAAUGGAUCAAAUGAUAAGAUUCACUACUCACCAGGACUAGGAGCAACAUCGUGAUAAGGGGGUAACUUAUCAA
This is a long non-coding RNA of Polistes dominula (European paper wasp), 1043 nucleotides long. RefSeq lists it as uncharacterized. The record is from RefSeq and is a predicted model, not a curated record. NCBI's taxonomy places the organism in Eukaryota, Metazoa, Arthropoda, Insecta, Hymenoptera, Vespidae.